Long non-coding RNA from Gallus gallus (chicken), 1667 nucleotides. NCBI's taxonomy places the organism in Eukaryota, Metazoa, Chordata, Aves, Galliformes, Phasianidae. The record is from Ensembl.
AUCUUCUCUGACAUCUUCACCUACCUGAGGACUGUAUGGACCUUCCAGAGCGUAGUUUGGCUUUGAGUUCUGUGGAGCAACAGGUUUAGCCAAAAAGUGGUAUAACUCUGCAUGGAAUUUCUUCUGGAUCCUCCCAAACCCUUGGCUGUGAAGGGCUGUAAGGAAGCUGUCACCAGAUGAAAGGAAGGGCUGCUCUGUGCUCAUACAACAACCAACGUCUGUGUUGUGUGGUUCCCAGCUGUGGAUGAGUUGGUUUGAGCUGAACUGCUCUUCACUGUGGUGUUCCUGGACCAGGAGAAGUCCAGGCACAGACUGACCGUGGAAACAGUUUUCUGUGCACCACGUGUGGCCUUCUCCAUCUAAAGCUGGAGGAGAAGCGGUGUUUUUCAAUUCGCACUGCGCAUCUCUGUUCCAGGAGCAGGCAGCGUGCUUGCGUCUUCUCAGGAAUCCAUUUGGCACUUCUUGUGAGCAAUAAAAAUCAGAUGUGAAUCAAAGGACAAGGUAAGCGAGGACAAAGAACAGCCUGUUGUUCUGCAGUGAGAGCCAGAAGAAAAUAUCCUGCCCAAAGUGGGCUUCUACUGGAACUUGGCCAGCUGACACGAGCUGCUUUCAGCAGAGGCUUUAGAAGAGAGGACCAAGCGCUGGGUGGAAGCACGCCUGGCCAUAGAGCUCCCAGGCCCUGGGGGUCUGAGCCACGUAGGCUGGCACAGAAAACCUCUCUGCCACUGGAAAUAAGCAGAAAAAAGGCUCCUGACAUCAGCCUGCGUUGGCAUGGUGUGCGUUAUGGAAAUGGUGGGGCGGCGUGUUGCAUCCUCUGUGCAGCUCGAGAAGGCUUUUCUUAGUCCUAAGGCUGCAUGCAUUUGUUUGAGUCUAUUCAGCAUUAUAUUUGAUCACCUCUAAUAAGAGGAAGUUUCACAAGUUAAUCAAAUCCUUGAGCAGCUUUUUUUGCUUCCCCCGGGCACAAAGUUUGUAAUCUCACACACCCCCUGAAGGUGCAGAGCCUCAGAAUGCAUGCGAGUCCAAGGUGGAAUUUAUUUUAUGACCAAACAGGAGAUACUUGCAGCUGAAAAAUAAAUACCAAGAAUAAGUCAUGCAUUUUUCAUCUCGAGUGGAGUGCAGGGAGGCGAGCAGUCUAAAUGUUUAAAGUGAGCCCUCUGGUAGGCAGCACUUCUACUAAAGCAGAGCUUCUCUCUGAUCAGGAUCACUUGCUGGCCACUGAGAUUAAUGGUCACCCACAGCCCCUGUCCGGCUGAGCGGCUCUGAACUGUGUAUAGGUUCCAAGAUUGUUGUUAGCACAGUUUCCUCCUUCUCUUCUACGCACCUUUCCUCAUCAGAGGUAAUGUGCCUAUCAGCUGUGGAAGCACUUCUGCCUUCAGCUGUUCCCAGAAAGUGGCCAAAACACCUGCUGGUGCUGAUGGCUUUGGAGAAAAGAAAAUCAAAUGUUGUCUCGGCCAGAAGGCGGCUCAAUUAGCUCUUCCUGCUGGGGAUAAUUAGACCUGAGGCUGUGCUGCUGGGAGGAAUCGGUCCUCAGCAUCGAUACUAAAUGAAUUAGGACUUUGUUGGCAACAGAGGGGAACUUAUCAGGACUUGACAGGCAACAGCAGAGCACUCCAACUUUAAAAAUAAAUACACAAAAAUCACAUGGAGUUCACCUUUGGAACACCGUC